This 253-nucleotide ribosomal RNA is filed under the name uncultured bacterium. Its description in RNAcentral is "partial 16S ribosomal RNA". It matches the Rfam family "Bacterial small subunit ribosomal RNA", at positions 524 to 776 of the family's 1533-position model. The record is from RNAcentral.
GACAGAGGGUGCGAACGUUGCUCGGAAUUACUGGGCGUAAAGCGCGUGUAGGCGGUCUCGCAAGUCCGGUGUGAAAGCCCGGGGCUCAACCCCGGAAGUGCACUGGAUACUACGGGGCUGGAGUCCUGAAGAGGAGGGCGGAAUUCCCGGUGUAGAGGUGAAAUUCGUAGAUAUCGGGAGGAACACCAGUGGCGAAGGCGGCCCUCUGGACAGGAACUGACGCUGAGACGCGAAAGCGUGGGUAGCAAACAGG